Numida meleagris (helmeted guineafowl) is the source of this 1271-nucleotide long non-coding RNA. RefSeq lists it as uncharacterized. The record is from RefSeq and is a predicted model, not a curated record. Lineage: Eukaryota; Metazoa; Chordata; Aves; Galliformes; Numididae. The transcript is spliced from 3 exons.
CUGUCGCCCUGGCAACUGGUCCACUUCCACUCCCCACCCCAAAUGCAGGCCCUGCUGGUACCCUGCACCAGCGUCCCUGGGGGGCUGCGGGGCGGGGGACGGGCUGCUGCAGAGCGGGGCGGGUGGCAGCAGAUGGAGCAGAAGUGUGUCAGGCAAAGGCAGCGAAACGAUGGCAGCUCCCCAGGAAGAAAAGGAGCCUCCAGUGCCCCAGCAGCAGGGACUCUCAGUGGAAGCCAUUGCUUUGGGCAGAGAGAAUUCAGACCCCAAACUCUGGCUAGACUGACUGUGCAAAACCAGCACUGGCCCCAGAGAUCAGAGCUGGAGAUGAGACAAGAUGAACAUUUUCAAGGAGAUAUUAUUAAAACCGUUGGGAGAAAUACCAAACAUGUUUUCAUGGAAAUUUCCAUUUUUGAAAAAAAAUUAAAAAAUAGUAAUAAAAGAAGGACUAAACUUGGAUGCGUUUAUAUAAAUAUGGAAAUGAAAACCAUUCUAUGCGCCUUGCCACCACCCCACGGCCAGCCCCGCUCCCUCUGCCCACCCCAGGAUCCCAAGUGGAUCUCAGCUUGUGCGCUGACGUGUAGAUGUGGUGCUGAGGGACAUGGCUUACUGGGCAAUAAGGGUGAUAGGUGGAUGGUUGGAUGAGAUGAUUUUAGAGGUCUUUUCCAAUCUUAAUGAUUCUGUGAUCCUCAGCAUCCUCCUCCUGCAUUGUGCUGCCUUAGAUUUGGCAGCCACUUGCCAAGAGGCUUGGCCAAACAGCAGCUGAUGGGCAAAGAGUUGGGUUCGCCCAACGGGGCACCUUGCUGGAUGAGCCAGGGAUGGAGAUGGGGCAUUAGGAGAUGGGGAGGAGCUGAGUGCCCUAUGGGUCCUGUCCUGGAGGGCAUUACAGGGGACGUGCCCAUGGGGCCAGCAGUGUGGUGAUGGAUGGAUGGAGCAGCAGGGCCAGGUGUGCCAACAGCCAAGCUCCGGCAUUGUGAACUCUUUCCCAUCUCUACAAGAAGAGGCCCUCCUGUAGGAUGCCUUGCCGUCAGCUCUUUUUUUUUUUUCUUUGUUUCUACAGAAAAUCCCAAUUCCCCCAAAUAAUCCAGCUCAGAGUAAAAAAGAAAAAAAAAAAACCCAUUACAAACGUGUCAUUGCAUUCUCUUCCCGUCCCCGUCCCUCUCACACACAGGGCUUGAAAGCGCACUGAAAGGUAUUCAGUGUGCACGCUGCCAAUUGUCACAUCUUUCAAUGACAGAUUUUAAAUGAAUGUUAUUUUGCAAAGGAAAGAGAGG